Manis javanica (Malayan pangolin) is the source of this 2974-nucleotide non-coding RNA. NCBI's taxonomy places the organism in Eukaryota, Metazoa, Chordata, Mammalia, Pholidota, Manidae. The record is from RefSeq and is a predicted model, not a curated record.
AAUGACUUUGGAAAGAGCUAUUGGACAAUAUUUAGUAAACUUGAAGGUACUUCUCAGACUCAACAAUUCUACCCAUAGGCAUUCCAUUAGAGACACUAUCACAUGUGAAAAGUUGGAGAAACUUACAAGAUGUUCAUUAAGGCAUUUUUGUAGUACUAAACAAUUGGAAACAACCUAAAUGUCCUUCAAUGGGCAAACGGAUAAAUAGAUUAUAGAAUAUUUCCCCAGUGGAAUACUGCACAGAAAUUAAAAUGAAUGGAUCGGCACUUCUGGUCUUACCUAUCUGCAUCAUCAUGCGUCACCUGGUAUCCCUAUGUCUAGUGUCUUCCCAUGUCUGUACAACUGUAAGACCUUUGAAAAUAGUAAUUAGAAAUUCUUCAGUGCACUUUUAAAAAGCAGUUUUAUUGAGGUAUAGUUGAUAUACAAUAAAUUAAAUAUAUUUAAAAGGUACAGUGUGAUAAGUUUUGACACAGUACAAAAUCACCAGAUCAAGGGAGUGAACAUAUCUGUCACUCCCAAAAGGUUUCCUGGUGUCCCUUUGUAGUCUCUCCCUCCAACCCCUCCCAUCCCCAAUUAACCACUGGUCGGCUUUCUGUCACUAUAGCUCAGUUUGCAUUUUCUACUUUUUUUAAAUGGGCUCAUUCAGUAUGUAUUCUUUUGUCUUGCUUUUACUCAGUAUAAUUAUUUUGCGAUUCAUCCAUGUUCUUUCAUUUUUACUGAGUAGGAUUCCAUUGUUUGGAUACUCCACAAUUUGUUCAUCAUUCACCUGUGGUAGACAACUGGGUCGUUUCCAGUUUUUGAUGAUUACAAAUAAAGCUGCUAUGAACAUUUGCCUAUGAGUCUUUGUGUGGGCAUGUGCUUUCUCUUCUUUUAGGUAAAUUUAUUGAAAUGGAAUGGCUGGAUUAAAUGGUAGGUAUAUGUUUAACUUUUAAAAAAACUGACAUAGUGGUUGCACCAUAUUACAUUUCCACUGGCAGGCUUCAGUGGGUUUUAAGAAUAAAAUCCGGGGCAAUUGUUAGGCAUUGGAAAAAGGGCCUUUACUGGUGUAAUGAAGGCUCUUGAGAUGAGAUCCUCCUAGAUGUAGAGUGGUCCUUAACCCAAUGACUGAUGUGCUUAUAAGAGAAAGGCAGAGGGAGACAGCGACAGACAGAGGAGAAGACAGGCAGAGACUGGAGGCAAGCUGCCAAUCAAGGAAUGUCUGAGGCUCGCAUAAGCUGGAAGAGACGCAGAAGGAUUCUCCCCAGAGCCUUCCGUGGGAACGGGGCCCUGCCGGCACCUUGAUUUUACCCUGCUGGCCUCUAAAACUGACACUCUGCUCAACGAGCCCAGUGUCUGACAGCAAGGACUCAAACAGAGCUCCAAGCAGCCCAAACUCCAAGCAUUCUGUGCCAUGGCCCUGGGGAAGCAACCACACCAUAUACCUCCAAGCUCAUUUCCUGCAAGAGGAUCCCGGUAAACAAGGUGCUCUGUUCCAUCCAAAGCUGGUAACACUCAUACUGAUCCUUUCUAGCUACAGCUCGUGAUUGCAUUUGGUAGCAGAAGCACUGCUCCAGGUCAGAAUGGCAGGAUGCUUUGGUGCUAGCAAAAGAAAACUCAGAUGGAUUCUUAAUAUGGUCCCUAAAUCAGAUGACCUGUGUCCUUGUAACAACAGAAGGUCAGAGGGAGGUGUGAGACAGUCCUAAGAGAAGACACCAAGAGGAGACAGCGAUGUGAAGAUGGAGGCAGCGAUGGGAUUGAUGCGGCUACAAGCCAAGGAGUGCCAUGGAUUGUCAGCAGCCCCGUGAAACUAGGAGAAAGCAUGGAAUGGAUUCUCAGAAGGAAGUGUGGCCCUGCUAAUACCAUUUCAGACUUCUGCCUCCAUAACUGUGAGAUAAUUAAUCUGUUGUUUUAAAUAAUCCAGUUUGGAGCAAUUUGUUACAGUAAUCCUAUUAAAACUAAUAGGAUUCUGAAAUGUUAUCUUCUCACGAAUGUUCAACGUGAAAGAUAAUGGACACCCAAACCUCAGUCCAAAGCUUGGAGGAAGUCUGCAUGGGAGCCCUACGCAGCUUCUCUGAGCUUGAUACUCUCUCAGAGUACUUCCCCAGGGACCCGCAGGCUUCUGACUCCUCCAGCAGAACUUUGACGCUUUCACGGUCCUGUAUAACCUUCCCCAGGUACUUGCUCAACAGAGCCCCAUAGCCCAGAUCUUAAGGAUGUUUAGCACUCUUUCUCACCUAUCCAUGUUCAAGGGUUCUAGGGCUCAGGAAAAUCCUAAAAUGUGGCUGAAAUCAUAAUGAGGAUGGAUAGAUUCUGGGAGCCUAAGGCUGUCUUUGUAGCACUGAGCUUAUACUACCGAGUGUCAUCACUAUUAAGAACUAGGUAACUACAUGCUGAGUGGUUAAAUCUAGCAUAUAUCCCUUACAAGCCCUGCCUGGGCAAAUGGUGAGUGGGGUGAAACUGUGUGCUAAUCUCCUCCACAUCUCCUUCAAAAGCUCUCAUGCCCCUGAUUACUCAGGGCCUCUGGACUGGUCUGAUCUCUCUGCAGGACCCUUUCUACUGCUCCUCUCAUCCCACUCACCAAAUAAACCUAUUCCUUGUCUAUUACUCUAGGCUUUUCUCCACUGCUAAGGGACAAUUAUCAUUAAUGCAUUAAUUAGGUCAGCUCAAGAGUUUGACAAAUUUCUCAUUGUGGAAACCAGAUGGAGAAAGCUGGGUUGGCAGUGUACCUAUGGGCAGAUUCAUAGUUGGCCAAAGGUCCUCAUGGGAAAAUAAAAAUCCCUAGCCUUCUGAAAAAAGGUUUCCUGCCCUUGGUCCAAUCCUGGUCAAUAUUUUAAUCAGUGAUUUAAAUAAAGUCAGAGACAAGCUUAUUUAAUUUCCAAAUAACCCAGCUCUAUGAGCGAUGUAGAAAACAUGUUUGUUCACAUAUUUAAUAUUUUUAAAGAUAUGAAAUGAUGGGCCACAAUGAAAAAAACAUGAACUGAUGGGCCAGAAUCAA